Molecule: ribosomal RNA, 250 nt
Filed under: uncultured bacterium
Lineage: Bacteria
Description: partial 16S ribosomal RNA
Rfam family: Bacterial small subunit ribosomal RNA
Source: RNAcentral
ACGUAGGGUGCGAGCGUUGUCCGGAAUUACUGGGCGUAAAGAGCUCGUAGGCGGUUUGUCGCGUCGUCCGUGAAAACUUGGGGCUCAACCCCAAGCUUGCGGGCGAUACGGGCAGACUUGAGUACUGCAGGGGAGACUGGAAUUCCUGGUGUAGCGGUGAAAUGCGCAGAUAUCAGGAGGAACACCGGUGGCGAAGGCGGGUCUCUGGGCAGUAACUGACGCUGAGGAGCGAAAGCGUGGGUAGCGAACA